This 376-nucleotide ribosomal RNA is filed under the name uncultured bacterium. RNAcentral's name for it is "bacterial SSU rRNA". It matches the Rfam family "Bacterial small subunit ribosomal RNA", at positions 524 to 898 of the family's 1533-position model. The record is from RNAcentral.
UACGGAGGGUGCGAGUGUUAUUCGGAAUCACUGGGCGUAAAGCGAACGUAGGCGGAUAGGUAAGUCAGAUGUGAAAUCCCGGGGCUCAACCUCGGAACUGCAUUUGAUACUACCUGUCUUGAGUAUGGUAGAGGUAGGUAGAAUUCCCGGUGUAGAGGUGAAAUUCGUAGAUAUCGGGAGGAAUACCAGAGGCGAAGGCGACCUACUGGGCCAUUACUGACGCUGAGGUUCGAAAGCGUGGGUAGCAAACAGGAUUAGAUACCCUGGUAGUCCACGCUGUAAACGAUGAGUACUAGGUGCGGGGGGUAUAAACUCCUUCCGUGUCGUAGCUAACGCGAUAAGUACUCCGCCUGGGAAGUACGGCCGCAAGGCUGAA